GCUCCCACCGAAGAAACCCAUCGAAACCCCCCUCCCCCAGAAAAAUUCCCCAAAUUUGUCCGGCCAAACUCAUGGACGGAGAUCGACGGACGCCGGCGGCCGCGGCCGCGGCCGCAUCGGCGGCAUCGGUCCUUGACGACGACAACCUCCUCCGCGAAAUACUCCUCUGCGUCGCCUUCCCCACCAGCCUCGUCAACGCCGCCCUCGUCUGCAAGCGGUGGCUCCUCCUCGCCUCCGCCCCGGCCUUCCUCCGCCGCUUCCGCGAGCGCAACCCGCCCCGCCUCCUCGGCGUCUGCGUCGGCUACCCGGGCAGGUAUCGCUUUGUGCCCCUCCCGCGGCAGCCCCCGGAGCUCGCCGCGCCCAUACGCCGCGCGACCUCCUCCUGCGACGCCGCCUUCGCCCGCAGAUGCCCGCGAAUCAAGCACUGCCGGAGCGGCCGCCUCAUCAUCGAGGUAUUCCACGCCGGCAGAUUUGAUCACCCCCUCGUGGUGCCGGUUCUCGCCGGGGAGUCUUCAACCGUCCUCCCACUAACCCUGCUGUCCCACGCCCACCGUAACUACUGGGAGAGGCGCACUCAAUUCACUGAGCUGUUCCUACCCGAGGAUGGGGGCCGCGACGGCAUCACCUUGGUGAAUCUGUGGAAGGACCGGCAAAAAGUGUAUGCGGAGGUGUGCAUCCUGAGAUCUGGCCGAUGGUGCGUCCCUGACAUGGAAUCAGAGAUAGAGCCCCCAAAUGGCACAGUCUUCCUUGAAAUGCUACCACCCGUCCAUGGCAAAGUCUUCAUGGUGACCAACUCUGGGUACACCGUGGGUCUAGAUUUGGCCACCAGGAGUCUUUUCACCCUUGAGCUACCAGCUGGAGUGCGGAGGAACUAUAUGCUCUCAUGCGCCGAGGAUGCAGGGAUCUAUCUUGUCAGUGCAGACGGGUUUCAGCUCAGUGUGUGGCUCCAUCGGAUGUCGGGCGAUGAUAAUGAUGCAGGCUGGCUGCUGCUGGACACAUUUUGUGUCCAUGAGGGUCAUGCAUGCACACCUCGUGCAGAGGACAGUUGGGUUCCUCCUCAUGAUGUUUGUCUUGAUGUUGUUGCAGUCGGGGACAAUGCCGACUUUGUCUUCUUGGAUCAUCCAGCAAGUGGCACUCUGUUUUAUGUUCAUCUGAGGAGCAGGGUGGUUGAGAAGGUCUACCGGAGGGGGGCAGAUGAAUGUGGAUAUAAACGUGCGGCUGCUGGCCACGUACGUGUAUCCCCUGUUAUGAUGAUCUGGCCGCCUAUCUUCCCAGCGCAGAACGUGGGACAUGAGGAAUGACCCCCCUGUGUUUGAUCGUUGUACUAUCUAAACUGAGUAUGGCUUCUGUAAUAGAGAGUCGUGCAAGAUUCAUCUUAAUAACAUCUGUCAUUUCAUUAAAUGAACUUGAAGUUUCACAGAAGCGUAUUGUGAGAUAUCAACCAGAACUGCACUGAAUCUUCUAAGCUUGACUGCAGUGUUUAUAAGAUAUUUUCCAAUAUGAAGACUUGUUGAUAAUGAAGAUUUUAUCAUGGCGAUCAGUAGUGUAAAAAUUCCUUGGGAAGACAGGUAAGUAAAAAUGAGGAGCAGCAAUUGGAACAGAAUGACUGAAAGUACAACUUGUGGUAGGGAAGCUUCAUUUGUGUUCUGGACAGGUAUGGCUCAAAUGAUACAACAAGGUGAGCAUGUUGAAAGUUAGUUGUGAUAUCCAUCUUCCACAUUAGAAGUUAUUUAUUUUUUCCAAAAUAUUUUUGUCCAGUCCGUCCAUCAUCACUAGUUCACUACUUGUAGUUGUAGGGGAGAUUUUUAGGUGUGUUUUCUACUUAAUUUUGUGGUAUCCAUUAGAUAAAGGGGUUUUAGAUGUGAUGCAUCAUGUCCACUGGUAUUCCUUCUCACGCACAAAUGGCAAAAGAGGCAAUUAGAGUGUAUCUAAACCUAGCUUAAUCAGGAACCUGUUAAAUCAUCAGCUGAAGAAUUGAUUCAGUUGGUACCACAAAAUUUAAGCCUAUCUCGAAUCUUGAUUCUUCACGCCAUUUUUCUAUGUAUGAUACUAACAACAAAAGUUCAGCCUGUCCCGAAUCUUGAUUCUUCUUCAUCUUUACUUAUUCGAGACACUAUUUAAAAAUAAAUAUCAAGGAUCAGCCACCCUCGUGGUCAUAGCUAACUGUAUGAUUUUGGCCUCUCCGAAUUCUCAAAAGCAAAGAUUAGAAAAGGUGGUUGAAUAGAACCUUUAGACAGAGAACAUAUAUUCUUCCCGAUUAGCCACAUCUCAUAGAGAUUCCCUUGCACCUCAAUCAAGCCUGCAACACUGCGCCGACCACUCCCUCUUCACCCGCCGCAGUCAUCUAUAAAUAAGCACCGUUGGAUCAUCACCAUCAUCCAACUCCAAGAAACCACAGCCUACAUCAAGCUCAAGUUAAGUGAGCUGACCAGAAUAUAUCGAUCACAAAACC
This is an RNA transcript of Triticum aestivum (bread wheat), 2452 nucleotides long. RefSeq lists it as uncharacterized. Lineage: Eukaryota; Viridiplantae; Streptophyta; Magnoliopsida; Poales; Poaceae. The record is from RefSeq and is a predicted model, not a curated record. The transcript is spliced from 2 exons.